CCUACGGGAGGCAGCAGUGAGGAAUAUUGGUCAAUGGGCGGAAGCCUGAACCAGCCAAGUAGCGUGCGGGAUGAAGGCCCUACGGGUCGUAAACCGCUUUUGCACGGGGAUAACACCCUCCACUUGUGGAGGUCUGCAGGUACCGUGCGAAUAAGGGCCGGCUAAUUCCGUGCCAGCAGCCGCGGUAAUACGGAAGGCCCGAGCGUUAUCCGGAUUCAUUGGGCUUAAAGGGAGCGUAGGCGGGCGUUCAAGUCAGCUGUAAAAUCGCGGGGCUAAACCGCGCCCCGCAGUUGAAACUGGACGCAUUGAGUUCACAACAGGCAGGCGGAAUUCGUGGUGUAGCGGUGAAAUGCAUAGAUAUCACGAGGAACCCCGAUUGCGAAGGCAGCCUGCCGGGGUGCGACUGACGCUGAGGCUCGAAGGUGCGGGUAUCAAACAGGAUUAGAUACCCCAGUAGUC
Molecule: ribosomal RNA, 459 nt
Filed under: uncultured bacterium
Lineage: Bacteria
Description: partial 16S ribosomal RNA
Rfam family: Bacterial small subunit ribosomal RNA
Source: RNAcentral